GACGAACGCUGGCGGCGUGCUUAACACAUGCAAGUCGAACGGUGAAGCUCCAGCUUGCUGGAGUGGAUCAGUGGCGAACGGGUGAGUAACACGUGAGCAACCUGCCCCUGACUCUGGAAUGAGCGCUGGAAACGGCGUCUAAUACUGGAUACGAGAAGGGUCCGCAUGGGCACUUUCUGGAAAGUUUUUCGGUUGGGGAUGGGCUCGCGGCCUAUCAGCUUGUUGGUGAGGUAAUGGCUCACCAAGGCGACGACGGGUAGCCGGCCUGAGAGGGCGACCGGCCACACUGGGACUGAGACACGGCCCAGACUCCUACGGGAGGCAGCAGUGGGGAAUAUUGCACAAUGGGCGAAAGCCUGAUGCAGCGACGCCGCGUGAGGGAUGACGGCCUUCGGGUUGUAAACCUCUUUCAGCAGGGAAGAAGCGAAAGUGACGGUACCUGCAGAAGAAGCACCGGCUAACUACGUG
Molecule: ribosomal RNA, 468 nt
Filed under: uncultured bacterium
Lineage: Bacteria
Description: partial 16S ribosomal RNA
Rfam family: Bacterial small subunit ribosomal RNA
Source: RNAcentral